This 693-nucleotide ribosomal RNA is filed under the name uncultured bacterium. Its description in RNAcentral is "bacterial SSU rRNA". It matches the Rfam family "Bacterial small subunit ribosomal RNA", at positions 263 to 916 of the family's 1533-position model. The record is from RNAcentral.
GCUCACCAAGGCUAUGACGCAUAGGGGCGCUGAGAGGCGGACCCCCACCGAUGGAAUUGAGAUACGGUCCAUACUCCUACGGGAGGCUGCAGUCGAGAAUCUUCGGCAAUGGGCGAAAGCCUGACCGAGCGAUGCCGCGUGGUGGAUGAAGUGCUUCGGCACGUAAACACCUUUUAUGAGGGAGAAAGCUGCGUGCAACACAGGAUUUCCGAUUCAAUACGGGGAAUUUUGUGUUGCACGCGGAUUGAUGUCACCUCAUGAAUAAGGGGCUCCUAACUCUGUGCCAGCAGGAGCGGUAAUACGUGAGCCCCAAGCGUUAUCCGGAAUUACUGGGCGUAAAGAGUGCGUAGGCGGUUGUGUUAGUCUUCUGUUCAAUCCAUCGGCUCAACCGGUGAACCGCAGAGGAAACGGCACGACUGGAGCGUGUGAGAGGUGAGCGGAACUCAUGGUGUAGGGGUGAAAUCCGUUGAUAUCAUGGGGAACACCAAAUGCGAAGGCAGCUCACUGGCACAUUGCUGACGCUGAGGCACGAAAGCGUGGGUAGCGAAUGGGAUUAGAUACCCCAGUAGUCCACGCCCUAAACUUUGUUCUCUCGCCUUUCGGAGUAUCGACCCUCUGAGAGGCUAAGCUAACGCGUUAAGAGAACCGCCUGGGUAGUACGAUCGCAAGAUUAAAACUUAAAGGAAUUGACGG